This 4809-nucleotide long non-coding RNA is filed under the name Homo sapiens (human). RNAcentral's name for it is "HSALNT0188176". The record is from RNAcentral. Lineage: Eukaryota; Metazoa; Chordata; Mammalia; Primates; Hominidae.
GGUAUAUGUUUCAGACCAGAUAGAUUUCUAUCAGAAGUAUUUUUAAAAAUAUUUACGUUAGGGUGCUUAAAUAUAUAACCUUCUAUGAUCUAGAACACUGACAAAUAUGUAUAACCCUUCUCCAGCAAUCCUGAAUAGUGUAUAUAGUACACAACUGCCCCAUUUUAGUAUUGCAUUGCAAAAGAACAAACACAACAUUUUUAAAUACUUUUAGUUCACAUUUUUUAAUGUUUAAAAACUAUGUUAACAGAGCAGUUAUAGAACAGAACUUCUUAUAUUUCUUUAUUUACACCACACUCUGAAAAAAAAAACCCAGUUCUAUUUGAUUAACUAUGAAUAGCAAAGUUUUGUGACUUGUGACUCACUUAAAUCACCCAUCUGAAAUUCAUUUACAAGGUUUUUACAUUAAUAAAACAGUAGUGUGGUACAUGUAUUGGACUCAGAUGAAGUCUAAAGUACACUGGACUCUAGAGAGUGGAUUACAUACCAACGACCAAGAUUCAAGUGUUUGGGGAAAAAAAUACCUUAGACAGUCUAUGUUGGCGUCAACACUAAAAUAAAAGGCAAACAUGCAGGACUUUCAAAGCUUGAUUAGAUAAUGGUUCUUUGUUUUCUUUCCUUCAAAUUUGUGCUCAUAAUUAAUAUUCAGGUUCCCUCUCCCCGCUUUCAUAGAUCCCAAAGUUUGAGAAAUGCAGCAAUUCAAUUGUGAAAAAAACAUUCUUCUCCCCAGCUUCUGUUUUCAUAUGUACUGUGUAGUGGUAUCAGUGUUAAAAAUGGAAGAUCAUUAUGAAGAAACAAUUUGUCAUUUGGGUAUAUCUGUUUCUAUAGGACAAGGAUUUGUGUCUAAAUAUUCCUUACUUGUAUCUCAGAGGACUAUCUGUUAAAUAAUUGAUCUUAAUGCCAGCAUAAGAAAUCAAGGGAACUAUUUCUCAGACAUUUCUUUCUCUAAAUUAAGUAGGGUUUCAGGUUCCAAGUUUACAUUGAGAGAACUAUGUUACCUGGGAGAGAAUGUAAAUUUUUCUAAUUCCCAAACAAAACCACUAAUUUCUAGGAAACAUUUAUUGUUUAUAUGCAGAUCCUAGAGACUUCUAUUUCAGUGCAGAUCAACAACUUCAAAAAUAUACAGCCUCCUAUUUAUUUACAAUAAUAUUUACAUACAAAUGAAGUAUUUCCUGCAAUAAGCCUCAGCUGCAUAGAUUCUUCCUUUAAAAACGUAAAUUUGAGCCUGUAUACAGAUGGGCCCAGUUUCAUAGCCCUUCCUUAGAUAAAAGCCUAAAGAAGGAAAAUGUCUGCACCUUGUGAACUUUACAUAUUUUGCAAGAACUUUCUCUUUGAGAUUUAGUGAUAGUUUUUAGUUGUUAGACACCCCACCUUCAGCUUGUACCUGAAAGCUUUAUCUCGUUAUAAAUAAUUCACUGUAAUUUAGGGGAAGUAUGUCCUGUUGCUAAAGGAUUCUCAAACCUGCCAUCCCCAAGGAAAAUCAUGUAUUAGUAUUGCUAAAUGAUGGUCUGUAUAUUCUUUGUUUUGAAGGUGGCUAGAUGUUUGCUGUAAACUUGAAUGGGAGAAUUAUAUUCUUAAAGUUUACACCCCCUAUAAGCCUAAAGCCAUUUAAAUUGAUAAACUGAGAGAGACUAAUAGAUUUUGCUCUAAGGUAUAAAAUCCAUUAUCUGAUCAUAUUCCUGACCUCCCCCCGACUCCAACUAAAUGUGCCAUAGUCCAACACUGUGCCUCACUGAAUUGGAACUCAGUAUUUCAUUCUUUUGAGAGCAGUUUGUAGCUCCUUAAGCAGAGCAGACCUUUCAGUAGAGAAUUCGCUUUAAAAGGAGGACAGGAUUAUCACCACACGAUUAACACAAACACUGGAGAACUUCUGACACAAAUUCAGUAUUUCUUCUAAGUCUGCAUUUACAAAGGGUCUUUUAUUUUAAUUUCUUUCACAACUGCCUCGCCCCAACCAAAGCCUCACUUUCAUUUCCUCACAGCUUUAAAAAAUAAAAUAUUAUCAUGCCUCAGCCCGAGGUAACACCGAGUGCAGGCAGCCUGUGUUUAGGAAUUUGCACCUGCGCUGCUAUUUUCAACGAGAAGGGGAUAACCAGGUGGCAGCGCUGGAUUCACUCACUUUCUUGCCAUUGCAGAGACCCCUGCCGCCAGGCUCCUUUCCUCCCCUCCCUAAAGCCUGGCUCCUGUAUGUUGCACCAUGAGUCCUAGGAAUCAUCUGGUGAGGGAGGACUAAUGGGAAGUAAAAGGGAGACUCAUUGGCUUAGGGUGGUUCUCAAACUUGAUGCGCUUUAGAAUCAUUUGCUGAGUCCCUCCCUGAGAGCUUCUGACUUCACCAUGUCUGGGAGGGGGCUGAGAAUCUGCAUUCUAAUGAGGUCCCCGAUGAUGCUGAUGCUACUGGUCUAGGGGCCACACUUUGAGAACCACUGGCUUAGAGGCAUGAAUCAAGCUCUAGAAAGCAGUCAGUUCCAGGGUAAUAGUCUUAGGUGCUCGCCGAAGCACUGAGGAAUCUUACCACAACCCUGUGUCCACCACAAGCCCUAUCACCAUCACCCAUCUGGGUGCUUCUUUUUCUCAACAGGGUCUGUAACUGUAAAAAAGGAAAGUGGGUGGAGAGGUUUUUUUUUCCCCCUUUUUUCUUGUUUUCUAACCUCCCAGCUUAUUCCUGGAGAGUUAAAACACAGUUACUAGCACUAAAAACAUUAAAAGUGCUGCGCGCUGGCCUCAAUGACUGGUACAUUGGAGAAGCUAUGCAGCAGCAUCCUUUUCUGUGGUGGGCAGGGCAGGAGAUGAACCAUAGGAGCCAAAAGUCAGACAAACAGAAGAAGGCACACCAAGCCUGAACCCUCCGGACAACAGCAGAGUUACCAGCUGAGGGAUGUCCCUGGAGGUUUCUGACCCAUGAGAGGCCCCCUCACCCUCCUUCACCCUCCUCCUACCACCAAGCUCUCCAGCAGUCAUGGACUUAUUCCUCCCCGUUUUUACUGGACACCAUGUUUCAGGCCAAUCUGGUCACCUGUAGUCUGGUGGCAUCUCUACCCCUACUGUCCAGUAGGUGGGAUGUGGCUGGGAUGGACAGUCCAGAUUCUACUAACAGGCAACUCUGAACAAACACCCUCCCUGGAAACAAUAUUAUAUUUGAUGGUUAGAUUCUUUAGCAAACCUAUUACAUUAUUCGAUGUCAGCUAACCUAUUGGUUUGAUCAUCUUUUCCAGCUGCUCUAGGGGCCUAACCACCAUGGAUAACCUGGUCUCUAAAGGAAAAUACAUUCCAGGUUGCAAACAACCAACUGACAACCUUUUGGAAUAUGAUCUCCUUAUACACUGGGGCUGCCUGUGCCUAAACACAGUAGAUUUCCCUCCUGUGCGUAUUUCAUCAGCCCCACUUCCAAUAAGUAACAUUAAGUAAAUUAGGGAUUGACAGUAUUCUGUGUUACAAUAACUAGAGAACAGUUCUAAGUCCAAAGUGUGGAACUGGCACUGUUCACUAGUAUAGAGAUCCUACCUACCAAAGGAAAACGUGCUGCUCCCCAUGCCUAGGGUAUAGUAUUCUUUAAUCUACUAAUUUAGCAGAAAAACUUCCAUAGCACUUGACUGUGCUGUUUAAAUUCGACCUAACAUCUGUGAUACAUGUAUUUUUGGCUACCAAUUAACUAUUCUGAAUAAGAAUAAGAGCAGUAUACUUUACAGCUAAUCUCACACAAAGGAUGUAACUAAUCAGUGAUAUUUGACGAAUUAUGGUAGGGUCUAUUAUAUUCAGUCAACAACAAAUUUAGAGAAACAUACAAAGGUUUUUAAAAAUAUGGGUGGUGUCACACAGAUCAACAACACUGUGCCUCCUCUAAAUAAAUCUAUUUUAAAUAAAUAUUCCUUGUAUUGACACAUGAAACCCAGAGGCCCAAAAAUAUCACUACACAUCCCAGUUAAUGAUAAGGUUCUAAAUUGACUUUGUGAGGGUAAAAUGAAUUGCUAUAAAGUAACAAGGAAAAUAGAAAGUAGCAUAAUAUAGCUUGCAAACUAAAUUAUGUAUUUUUAAAGGUACAGUCAUCCCACUACCUGGCUAUUUCAUUACUUGGUGCUCUAGACAAGCUCCCAAGAACUGACUGGAUCUUGGCUUGUUCUGUUUCUGUCAUUGCUAAUAUAAUAUGGAAAACAUUGCUGAAAAGAACAGAGAUGGCCAUGGAUAUGGCUAGGUUAGGUAUUCAUAUCCAAAUAUCUGAACUCUAACCUAAUGUGGAUAUGAUUCUGUAGCAUUAUAUUAAAAGCUAUGAUGAUGCAAUGCAGGAAAUAACCUUUCAUUCUCCCCCCUAGAGGAUCACGACAGGUGCUUCAAUGCCUGCCUUAUCUAUGGGACAGUAGUGUGAUUCUCAGUGAGAGUGAAGGCCUUUGGGGAUUUGAGUCAGGAAGGGAACAUGGCUAAGUGCCUGGAAACUCUGAGAGGGACAAGGGUAAGAGUACCAGGCAACUCUGUCCUCCUGCAUGGACAGUUGAGACGGGCAGUAAUGGCACAGUCCUUGGUUGGGGAAGAGAAGAGGAGACAGCACAGACACUGAGACCCCCUUGUCUUCCUCAUCUGGGGGAAGGAAGGUACUCAGUGAUUCUGUCAGAAGCUCUUCACAAAGACUAUCUCUGAGGGUUUUUUUUUUUUUUUUUUCACAAGACUAGAUGGAGAAUUAAUGAAGAAGAAAUAGAAAUGAGGCUUAUUUAAGGUACAAAAUUCUUGUAUUUGUAAUAACCUAGAUUUAUAGAUAUAAAACAAGUCUUUUAAAGACUUCCCUAAAAUACUCAAUAUAAAACAGGAGUUACUUAUCCU